AUACGGAGGGUGCAAGCGUUACUCGGAAUCACUGGGCGUAAAGGACGCGUAGGCGGAUUGGAAAGUCAGAUGUGAAAUCCUACAGCUUAACUGUAGAACUGCAUUUGAAACUUCUAAUCUAGAGUAUGGGAGGGGGAGAUGGAAUUAGUGGUGUAGGGGUAAAAUCCGUAGAUAUCACUAGGAAUACCGAAAGCGAAGGCGAUCUCCUGGAACAUAACUGACGCUAAGGCGUGAAAGCGUGGGGAGCAAACGGGAUUAGAUACCCCAGUAGUCC
RNAcentral lists this ribosomal RNA (274 nucleotides) under uncultured bacterium. RNAcentral describes it as "partial 16S ribosomal RNA". It matches the Rfam family "Bacterial small subunit ribosomal RNA", at positions 523 to 796 of the family's 1533-position model. The record is from RNAcentral.